RNAcentral lists this ribosomal RNA (457 nucleotides) under uncultured bacterium. Its description in RNAcentral is "bacterial SSU rRNA". It matches the Rfam family "Bacterial small subunit ribosomal RNA", at positions 340 to 786 of the family's 1533-position model. The record is from RNAcentral.
UACGGGAGGCAGCAGUGGGGAAUAUUGGACAAUGGGCGCAAGCCUGAUCCAGCCAUACCGCGUGGGUGAAGAAGGCCUUCGGGUUGUAAAGCCCUUUUGUUGGGAAAGAAAUCCAGCCGGCUAAUACCUGGUUGGGAUGACGGUACCCAAAGAAUAAGCACCGGCUAACUUCGUGCCAGCAGCCGCGGUAAUACGAAGGGUGCAAGCGUUACUCGGAAUUACUGGGCGUAAAGCGUGCGUAGGUGGUCGUUUUAAGUCUGUUGUGAAAGCCCUGGGCUCAACCUGGGAACUGCAGUGGAAACUGGACGACUAGAGUGUGGUAGAGGGUAGCGGAAUUCCUGGUGUAGCAGUGAAAUGCGUAGAGAUCAGGAGGAACAUCCAUGGCGAAAGGCAGCUACCUGGACCAACACUGACACUGAGGCACGAAAGCGUGGGGAGCAAACAGGGAUUAGAUACC